This 493-nucleotide ribosomal RNA is filed under the name uncultured bacterium. RNAcentral describes it as "partial 16S ribosomal RNA". It matches the Rfam family "Bacterial small subunit ribosomal RNA", at positions 29 to 523 of the family's 1533-position model. The record is from RNAcentral.
AUUGAACGCUGGCGGCAUGCUUUACACAUGCAAGUCGAACGGUAACAGGUUAAGCUGACGAGUGGCGAACGGGUGAGUAAUGCAUCGGAACGUGCCCGGUCGUGGGGGAUAACGCAGCGAAAGCUGCGCUAAUACCGCAUACGAUCUGAGGAUGAAAACGGGGGACCGUAAGGCCUCGCGCGAUCGGAGCGGCCGAUGUCGGAUUAGGUAGUCGGUGGGGUAAAGGCUCACCAAGCCAACGAUCUGUAGCUGGUCUGAGAGGACGACCAGCCACACUGGGACUGAGACACGGCCCAGACUCCUACGGGAGGCAGCAGUGGGGAAUUUUGCGCAAUGGGGGAAACCCUGACGCAGCAACGCCGCGUGAGUGAUGAAGGCCUUCGGGUCGUAAAGCUCUUUUAGUGGGGAAGAAACCGCCAGGGCUAAUAUCCCUGGUGAAUGACGGUACCCACAGAAAAAGUUCCGGCUAACUACGUGCCAGCCGCCGCAGUAA